GGAUCCAGACUUUGAUUAUGGCUCAGGAUAAACGCUGGCGGCGCACAUAAGACAUGCAAGUCGAACGAACUUAACCAUUAGUUUACUAUUGGAGCGGUUAGUGGCGGACUGGUGAGUAACACGUAAGCAACCUGCCUAUCAGAGGGGAACAACAGUUAGAAAUGACUGCUAAUACCGCAUAUGCCUUGAGUAUCACAUGGUACAAAAGGGAAAGGAGCAAUCCGCUGAUAGAUGGGCUUGCGUCUGAUUAGGUAGUUGGUGAGGUAACGGCCCACCAAGUCGACGAUCAGUAGCCGGACUGAGAGGUUGAACGGCCACAUUGGGACUGAGAUACGGCCCAGACUCCUACGGGAGGCAGCAGUCGGGAAUAUUGCGCAAUGGAGGAAACUCUGACGCAGUGACGCCGCGUGCAGGAAGAAGGUUUUCGGAUUGUAAACUGCUUUAGACAGGGAAGAAACAAGACAGUACCUGUAGAAUAAGCUCCGGCUAACUACGUGCCAGCAGCCGCGGUAAUACGUAGGGAGCAAGCGUUAUCCGGAUUUAUUGGGUGUAAAGGGUGCGUAGACGGGAAAUUAAGUUAGUUGUGAAAUCCCUCGGCUUAACUGAGGAACUGCAACUAAAACUGAUUUUCUUGAGUGCUGGAGAGGAAAGUGGAAUUCCUAGUGUAGCGGUGAAAUGCGUAGAUAUUAGGAGGAACACCAGUGGCGAAGGCGACUUUCUGGACAGUAACUGACGUUGAGGCACGAAAGUGUGGGGAGCAAACAGGGUUAGAUACCCUGGUAGUCCACACCGUAGACGAUGGAUACUAGGUGCAGGGUGUGAUAAACAUUCUGUGCCGUCGCAAACGCAGUAAGUAUCCCACCUGGGGAGUACGGCCGCAAGGUUGCAACUCAAAGGAAUUGACGG
Molecule: ribosomal RNA, 906 nt
Filed under: uncultured Bacillota bacterium
Lineage: Bacteria; Bacillati; Bacillota
Description: bacterial SSU rRNA
Rfam family: Bacterial small subunit ribosomal RNA
Source: RNAcentral